This 4276-nucleotide long non-coding RNA is filed under the name Olea europaea subsp. europaea. Lineage: Eukaryota; Viridiplantae; Streptophyta; Magnoliopsida; Lamiales; Oleaceae. The record is from RNAcentral.
CUUUAACACAUAAUAUGUUCAAUCCUCAUUAAAACUGAUAUUUCUGUUUCCCCAAUUCAAGAAAGGCAUUCAUACUAUAUCAUGCCUGCCAGAAAUCGUUUGAUUUCAUCAUCACCGGCAACCCUGCCGCCACCGCCCAUUCCCACCGGCAAGGGAUCGCGUUCUGCCGUGGAUCCAGUUUUAUCCGAUUACAUAGACCAGUCAAUACAUAUCCCGGAAUUGACUCUCCCUGAGCAUGUUCAUAGUUUAAAGCCACUUGAUAUUGAUUAUCAACUGCUCAUAUCAAUGGAUGAUGAUGAAUCAAUGAGUCCGCUGUUGACAUCGGCUAGGGGACUCGGAAUUUUUCGGAUUAUUGGGCAUGGAAUUUCUAGUGAUGAGUUAAGAUCAAUAUUGGUUGAUUGUGAACAGAUAUUUGGACUGCCAAUUGAAUGUUGCACAAAUUAUGGAGAUCAUGAGAAGUUUGUGUGGUGUGAUGAUGAUAAAGAGUUCAUGGAGAAGGGUAAAUUUGUUCUUGGAGAGCAAAAAUUUCAUAUUUUCAGGUAAAAGUUACCAAAGUUUGAAUUUUAAGGUCCGUUUGAUUGGAGUGAAUUUCAUGGAUAAUAUCACAUUCAAUGAAUUCAUUUUUUACUUUGGCUGUUUGAUACGAAAGUGAAAAUGAAGUUCAAAUUCUAAAAUACAAAUAUGUAAAGCAUAUUUUUGGUCAAUUCCAUAGAAAAUGCAUUCCUAUGGUUUUGGUGAUUUUUUUUUUCCCAACUUACAUGGAAUUGGUUUGUACCUUGGAAAUCAAACUUCAUUUCCAUUAUCAAACAGCAAAAGUAGAAUUCUUCGAAUGCGAUAUUUUCCAUGGAAUUCACUCCAAUCAGGCGAACCCUUUGUCUAUUUUGCAUUUCCAUUGUAGGUUGAAUUUUUGGUUCGUUACAUUGUUUAGGCGUCUUUUGCGUUUUGAUUUUUAAGACUUGAUUUCUAUUUUAAGAUAUCAACAUUUUAAAAAUUUACACUUGUAAAAGGGUCAUUCGAGAAAAUUUUCAGCUUGUCAGCUUCGUUUUUUCUUCACAAUAAACACUAGCAAUUUUCAUACACAAGUGAAGCUAAAACUUAACUGAGUAUAUUCAUCCAAUCCAAGCCAUCAAAGACCAAACUGUAUAACUUGGAUUCGCUAGUUAGUAAGAGUGGAAGACGAAGGAAGGGACGAAUAGUCAAUUUUGAAAAAAAUUAUUGUCAACCUCUUUCAUUUAUGAAUCUAUCCGAUUCAGAAGGGAAGUCUUUACAUCAGUAUCUCAAUUUCAUCCCACGUGCAGAAAGAUGGAUACCUUCCUUAAAGUUUCACGAGUUGAGAUUAUUUACACCAUUUGCAGGCAAAAAAUGGAGUAUGUUGCCACAAAACUCAAAUCUAUUGCAGAAGAAUUGGCAAAGGUAAUUGCUCCAAGUGCUAUAAACCAAUCUCCAGAGCAAGUUCAAUUAGGGGAAUCCACAUUGAGCAUAUAUAGGUACCAUGGAGCUAAUAUCAUCGAUCGAAUUCCCUCUCUAGUCGAGGAAAAAUGCCAAGAAUCAUGUCAAUAUGCUUUGAAGCUCCAUCUUAUACUAGAUUCAGGCGAGUUCUGUUGGCAGUUGGAGUUGCAUAGUUCGUCAUUCAGCCCAAGCAACAACACCAUUGUUGUAAAUAUGGGGAAAGAGUUGGAGGUAAUUUAAUUUAGAUUAUUUCUAUUCCAAAUUGGGUCGUGAAUUAACAUAAUUUCAUUUUUAAUUGUUAAAUAUAGGAAGGGAGCCAUAACGAACUGAAGUCAGCUGGUGGGGAAUUACUUUUCAGGCCUUACCUUCAUACUAAUCGCCCAUCUUUCUCAAUUGAACAGAAGUGGUCAUCUUGUAAUUUGAAUAAAAUUCAGAAUGAUUCUAGCAAGCGAAUCUCAUUGGCUGAUCAGAUCUUGGUUCUAUUGCUAGUGGUAUUGUUAUACAAUACUUUUACUUUUGUUUACUCUUGAAUCAAACCGAACUAAGUCAACCAGUAUUAGUCGUGUUUGGUUUCACAAUGUGUGUUGUGUUAUACUGAAGUUAGGCAUCAUGUUUGACAAUGUUGAUGCAAGAAAAUUUGUCAUGAGGAUUAAUGUGUACUGAAAGUGAAAGUUCAAGAGAUUCAUGUACAUUCUUUAUGAAAUUUUCUUUGUCGUAAAUGAUCUAGUGUGGUGUAAAGAAUUAUCAAGAAAAUGAUGAAGACAUCCAUUUUAUUUAUUUUCUAGUUGGACUUUUAUCUAUGUUUUGGACUCUUAUUUAUGUAAUUGGGCUUAUACAAGGGGUUUGGCCCAAUCCCGUUGUUUUCAGGGCUUUGUCUUGCUAUUUAAAUUUAGCUUGUCAUGAAAUUGGGACAGUUAAUUAUUAUGAUGAAUUGAGAUUGGUUUUGAUGUCUCCUACCUCUUCCUUCCCCUUUUAUCCUGAAUUUCUGAUUCUUCUCCAAUUUCUCUCCCCAUUCUCUCCGAUUUCUUCCCCAUUUCUUAUUGUCUUCUUCUUUAUCCUCCAUCAAAUUUGGUAUUAGAGUUAAACUUGGAUAAUAUUUCUUCAUCCAUUCCAUACAUACAACUAGUAUAUCCAUCACCUGCUAAUUCAACUCCCUUUUCCAGUUCACCAAUGCUACCAGAGAAACCACCACGUCCUUCCACAACUGCCAACCACCCGAAAUUCACUCAACACCUGGAACUUCCACCACCAACUACAACCCCCACCAAAUAAUUCCAGUAAACGCGACCACCCCACAAGCCAAACCUCCAACUCCAACACAGGCUAUAGCGUAACCUGCAACUUUUAUAUAAUCGACCUUUUUUUGUCACAAUAACAACCUACUAUCAACAAAACAACCAAUCACCAUUGUCCAAAUGAGUUGUGGGAACCUGGGAGCCAACAAGGGCACAUCCUGCGAUUUACCUCCCUGAGCUGCUGAGGGGCCUGAUGUUACUGGGUCGGGUCAAAUGGAUGAUGGUGCUGGAUUGGAUCGUGAUCUUUAAUUGGCGCAGAUUUUACGCCCGAGGCUGCAUUCCUGGAGUAUGAAGAGAACUUGGGCCCAGAUGGCUUAACAAGAUUGGGCACAUUAAUUUUUGUAAAUAAAAGUUGUACAAUCAUGUGCACGGGACCAUGCAAAAGAUAAUUACACCAGCCCCAUUUUGGAGGGAACAAAUGAAUUUUUGAAUAGUGUAUUGGAAAAUGUGUGAUUAAAAAAUGAGAAAAAAUUUUAAAUUUACGUGUAAUAUUAUUUUAUUAAAUAAUGUGUGAUUGAUAUGAUGUCAAAAUACUGUAGAACGUAUUUUUUUUUUUUAAAUAUAUUGGGGCUCAUACAAGCUGUAUGCAUGCAUCAUUUUCAAUAUACGACGUUAAAUACUUCCAGCUGUAUUUGAUAUUUAAAAGAACAUGUCCUUUAUAAGUCUGUCCAGAAAUAUGAGAAAGAGCUCNAAACCACCACGUCCUUCCACAACUGCCAACCACCCGAAAUUCACUCAACACCUGGAACUUCCACCACCAACUACAACCCCCACCAAAUAAUUCCAGUAUACGCGACCACCCCACAAGCCAAACCUCCAACUCCAACACAGGCUAUAGCGUAACCUGCAACUUUUAUAUAAUCGACCUUUUUUGUCACAAUAACAACCUACUAUCAACAAAACAACCAAUCACCACUGCCUCCACCUCUCCAACCGACAUACAGUACAUCAGUACGCAUACUUCCCAAACCACACAAAUUGACAGCCGCUGCUCACAUCUCGCUCCAUUCGCCUCUUCCAAACUUGAUCCAAUCACCCAAGCUUCAUCUUCUCUACACAGCAUCAAUAAUCCGCCCAACGCACCCCACAUCUUCAUCCAAUCAACACCACAUGCUACACUCAAGUAAUCACAAUCCAUCUCCAAGCACUCGCCAUGACUAUCGCCGUCAAUCAUCCUUACAGUCGACGCAGUCAUCUUCGCAACCGUCAACACCGCAUCUCUCGUCUCGUAACUAUUGAGUAGGGCUGGACAAAUUGUGGGUAUUUGAUUAUCAAAUUGGGUCGUGCCUUGGUAUUUUGGCUUUGUAUUGUGAGUCUAAGUAUUUGAUUUUCAGUUUAGGCUCUGCCUUGAUUAGUUUUUGGGCCUAAUAAAAGUGUAGUUGGAGAGAGACAGAGAGAGAGAAAUUUUCUGACAUUAUUUGCACGUUGUUUCCUUUUUUCUUGCUGAUUGACACAGCCACUCGGAUGAUUCAAUUGCCGCUUUGCCACUGGAGUCAUGUCUAUCCUGANCAGUAUUUUGUGAUUUAUCUACU